GUGCAGAGAUGCACUCCCCGCAAGGUCUCUACACAGGUGGUGCAUGGUUGUCGUCAGCUCGUGUCGUGAGAUGUUGGGUUAAGUCCCGCAACGAGCGCAACCCCUGUGAUUUGUUGCCACCCGGUUUACCGGAGCACUCGAAUCAGACUGCCUCGAUCAACGAGGAGGAAGGUGGGGAUGACGUCAAGUCCGUAUGGCCCUUACGACCAGGGCUGCACACGUACUACAAUGCCCAGUACAAUAUGAACCGAGACCGCGAGGUGGAGGAAAUCAAUAAAACUGGGCUCAGUUCAGAUUGGA
RNAcentral lists this ribosomal RNA (300 nucleotides) under uncultured Deinococcales bacterium. Its description in RNAcentral is "bacterial SSU rRNA". It matches the Rfam family "Bacterial small subunit ribosomal RNA", at positions 998 to 1302 of the family's 1533-position model. The record is from RNAcentral. Lineage: Bacteria; Thermotogati; Deinococcota; Deinococci; Deinococcales.